RNAcentral lists this ribosomal RNA (403 nucleotides) under uncultured bacterium. RNAcentral's name for it is "bacterial SSU rRNA". It matches the Rfam family "Bacterial small subunit ribosomal RNA", at positions 362 to 758 of the family's 1533-position model. The record is from RNAcentral.
UUUUGGACAAUGGGGGAAACCCUGAUCCAGCAAUGCCGGGUGAGUGAAGAAGGGCUUCGGGUUGUAAAGCUCUUUUGUCAGGGAAGAAACACCGGCUCUAACACAGUCCGGGAAUGACGGUACCUGAAGAAUAAGCACCGGCUAACUACGUGCCAGCAGCCGCGGUAAUACGUAGGGUGCGAGCGUUAAUCGGAAUUACUGGGCGUAAAGCGUGCGCAGGCGGUUAUACAAGACAGGCGUGAAAUCCCCGGGCUUAACCUGGGAAUGGCGCCUGUGACUGUAUAGCUAGAGUGUGUCAGAGGGGGGUAGAAUUCCACGUGUAGCAGUGAAAUGCGUAGAUAUGUGGAGGAAUACCAAUGGCGAAGGCAGCCCCCUGGGACAACACUGACGCUCAUGCACGAGG